This 303-nucleotide ribosomal RNA is filed under the name uncultured bacterium. RNAcentral's name for it is "partial 16S ribosomal RNA". It matches the Rfam family "Bacterial small subunit ribosomal RNA", at positions 507 to 807 of the family's 1533-position model. The record is from RNAcentral.
AGCAGUCGCCGCGGUAAUACGGAGGGUGCAAGCGUUAAUCGGAAUUACUGGGCGUAAAGCGCACGCAGGCGGUCUGACAAGUCAGAUGUGAAAUCCCCGGGCUUAACCUGGGAACUGCAUUUGAAACUGUCAGGCUGGAGUCUUGUAGAGGGGGGUGGAAUUCCAGGUGUAGCGGUGAAAUGCGUAGAGAUCUGGAGGAAUACCGGUGGCGAAGGCGGCCCCCUGGACAAAGACUGACGCUCAGGUGCGAAAGCGUGGGGAGCAAACAGGUUUAGAUACCCGUGUAGUCCCUGUCUCUUAUAC